Molecule: ribosomal RNA, 497 nt
Filed under: uncultured bacterium
Lineage: Bacteria
Description: partial 16S ribosomal RNA
Rfam family: Bacterial small subunit ribosomal RNA
Source: RNAcentral
GACGAACGCUGGCGGCGUGCCUAAUACAUGCAAGUUGAGCGAUGAAGAUUGGUGCUUGCCCCAAUUUGAAGAGCAGCGAACGGGUGAGUAACGCGUGGGGAAUCUGCCUUUGAGCGGGGGACAACAUUUGGAAACGAAUGCUAAUACCGCAUAAUAACUUUAAACAUAAGUUUUAAGUUUGAAAGAUGCAAUUGCAUCACUCAAAGAUGAUCCCGCGUUGUAUUAGCUAGUUGGUGAGGUAAAGGCUCACCAAGGCGAUGAUACAUAGCCGACCUGAGAGGGUGAUCGGCCACAUUGGGACUGAGACACGGCCCAAACUCCUACGGGAGGCAGCAGUAGGGAAUCUUCGGCAAUGGACGAAAGUCUGACCGAGCAACGCCGCGGGAGUGAAGAAGGUUGUCGGAUCGUAAAACUCUGUUGGUAGAGAAGAACGUUGGUGAGAGUGGAAAGCUCAUCAAGUGACGGUAACUACCCAGAAAGGGACGGCUAACUACGUG